Molecule: ribosomal RNA, 253 nt
Filed under: uncultured bacterium
Lineage: Bacteria
Description: partial 16S ribosomal RNA
Rfam family: Bacterial small subunit ribosomal RNA
Source: RNAcentral
UACAGAGGUCUCAAGCGUUGUUCGGAUUCAUUGGGCGUAAAGGGUGCGUAGGCGGCGAGCUAAGUUUGGUGUGAAAUCCUGGGGCUUAACCUCAGAAUUGCACUGAAUACUGGUUUGCUAGAGGACUGGAGAGGAGAUUGGAAUUCACGGUGUAGCAGUGAAAUGCGUAGAUAUCGUGAGGAAGACCAGUGGCGAAAGCGAAUCUCUGGACAGAUCCUGACGCUGAUGCACGAAGGCUAGGGGAGCAAACGGG